GGACAGGUGGCCGAGUGGUUGAAGGCACCGGUCUCGAAAACCGGCAUACCGGCAACGGUAUCGUGAGUUCGAAUCUCACCCUGUCCG
This 87-nucleotide transfer RNA is filed under the name Gemmatimonas aurantiaca. Its description in RNAcentral is "tRNA-Ser". It matches the Rfam family "tRNA". Rfam says of the family: Transfer RNA (tRNA) molecules are approximately 80 nucleotides in length. Their secondary structure includes four short double-helical elements and three loops (D, anti-codon, and T loops). The record is from RNAcentral. Lineage: Bacteria; Pseudomonadati; Gemmatimonadota; Gemmatimonadia; Gemmatimonadales; Gemmatimonadaceae. RNAcentral also lists the same sequence under 14 other names.